This 497-nucleotide ribosomal RNA is filed under the name uncultured bacterium. RNAcentral's name for it is "partial 16S ribosomal RNA". It matches the Rfam family "Bacterial small subunit ribosomal RNA", at positions 28 to 507 of the family's 1533-position model. The record is from RNAcentral.
GAUGAACGCUGGCGGCGUGCCUAAUACAUGCAAGUCGAGCGAACGGACGAGAAGCUUGCUUCUCUGAUGUUAGCGGCGGACGGGUGAGUAACACGUGGAUAACCUACCUAUAAGACUGGGAUAACUUCGGGAAACCGGAGCUAAUACCGGAUGAUAUUUUGAACCGCAUGGUUCAAAAGUGAAAGACGGUCUUGCUGUCACUUAUAGAUGGAUCCGCGCUGCAUUAGCUAGUUGGUAAGGUAACGGCUUACCAAGGCAACGAUGCAUAGCCGACCUGAGAGGGGGAUCGGCCACACUGGAACUGGGACACGGUCCAGACUCCUACGGGAGGCAGCAGUAGGGAAUCUUCCGCAAUGGGCGAAAGCCUGACGGAGCAACGCCGCGUGAGUGAUGAAGGUCUUCGGAUCGUAAAACUCUGUUAUUAGGGAAGAACAUAUGUGUAAGUAAAUGUGCACAUCUUGACGGUACCUAAUCAGAAAGCCACGGCUAACUACGUG